This 132-nucleotide small RNA is filed under the name Salmonella enterica. Its description in RNAcentral is "RtT sRNA". It matches the Rfam family "RtT RNA". Rfam says of the family: This family represents a bacterial cis-regulatory element known as RtT RNA. Lineage: Bacteria; Pseudomonadati; Pseudomonadota; Gammaproteobacteria; Enterobacterales; Enterobacteriaceae. The record is from RNAcentral. RNAcentral also lists the same sequence under 1 other name.
AUUCUACCCAUGCGGGGAAGGAUGAGAAGCUUCGACUAAGGUUCGAUUCGAGCGAAAGCGAGAGAACGUUGCCGCAGGCAACGACCCGAAGGGCGAAGCGCGCAGCGCUGAGUAAUCCUUCCCCCACCACCA